Molecule: ribosomal RNA, 400 nt
Filed under: uncultured bacterium
Lineage: Bacteria
Description: bacterial SSU rRNA
Rfam family: Bacterial small subunit ribosomal RNA
Source: RNAcentral
UGGGGAAUAUUGGACAAUGGGCGCAAGCCUGAUCCAGCAAUGCCGCGUGGGUGAAGAAGGUCUUCGGAUUGUAAAGCCCUUUCGACAGGGACGAUGAUGACGGUACCUGUAGAAGAAGCCCCGGCUAACUUCGUGCCAGCAGCCGCGGUAAUACGAAGGGGGCUAGCGUUGCUCGGAAUUACUGGGCGUAAAGGGCGCGUAGGCGGCGCUGCAAGUCAGGCGUGAAAUUCCUGGGCUUAACCUGGGGGCUGCGCUUGAGACUGUGGUGCUAGAGGAUGGAAGAGGGUCGUGGAAUUCCCAGUGUAGAGGUGAAAUUCGUAGAUAUUGGGAAGAACACCGGUGGCGAAGGCGGCGACCUGGUCCAUUACUGACGCUGAGGCGCGACAGCGUGGGGAGCAAA